CUUGGGUCAUGUAGUGACUCUCAAUAGGUGAUGGGGGGUGGGGAAGACAGCUUCGAAAGCCCACCUGGCAAAAAAUCCACACUGGGGGCGAGAGAUAAACCGGCACAUUCCCCAGACUGACCCAUUAGGCUUCUUUCAUAACUUACUGGCAAUGAGCUGAGGAAGCUGUGAGUCUGGGAGUUAUUGAUUUUCUCUCAUCAUCAAAAUUCCUGCUUUUGGUGAGGGAACCAAUGCCAAGUAAGCACAGAACCUGUCUUCUCUCUGGACCAGAGCAGCUCAUGCCCCUUCAGGUCUCUUUGCUCACAUCUCCAGAUCUUUGGCUUCAAGCAAGAUCUCUCUCCUGAGCUUCAGGUUCCGCAUCUUCAGCUGCUUGAUCUCCAGUUUAGUCACUGAAUUGUGAGGUCCUCAAAGAUGAGAACCAUGCCUCAUUCACUUCCCUCAAGGCUUGCACUGCAGGAAGCAUUUUAUACAUUUUUUAACAUCAUGUAUGAAUAAGUGAGUG
Molecule: long non-coding RNA, 502 nt
Filed under: Equus asinus (donkey)
Lineage: Eukaryota; Metazoa; Chordata; Mammalia; Perissodactyla; Equidae
Description: lncRNA (ENSEASG00005035961.1)
Source: RNAcentral